Molecule: ribosomal RNA, 506 nt
Filed under: uncultured bacterium
Lineage: Bacteria
Description: partial 16S ribosomal RNA
Rfam family: Bacterial small subunit ribosomal RNA
Source: RNAcentral
AGUGAACGCUGGCGGUAGGCCUAACACAUGCAAGUCGAACGGCAGCACAGAGGAGCUUGCUCCUUGGAUGGCGAGUGGCGGACGGGUGAGGAAUACAUCGGAAUCUACUCUGUCGUGGGGGAUAACGUAGGGAAACUUACGCUAAUACCGCAUACGACCUACGGGUGAAAGCAGGGGAUCUUCGGACCUUGCGCGAUUGAAUGAGCCGAUGUCGGAUUAGCUAGUUGGCGGGGUAAAGGCCCACCAAGGCGACGAUCCGUAGCUGGUCGGAGAGGAUGAUCAGCCACACUGGAACUGAGACACGGUCCAGACUCCUACGGGAGGCAGCAGUGGGGAAUAUUGGACAAUGGGCGCAAGCCUGAUUCAGCCAUACCGCGUGGGUGAAGAAGGCCUUCGGGUUGUAAAGCCCUUUUGUUGGGAAAGAAAUCCAUCUGGUUAAUACCCGGAUGGGAUGACGGUACCCAAAGAAUAAGCACCGGCUAACUUCGUGCCAGCCGCCGCCGUAA